AAAUUGAAGAGUUUGAUCAUGGCUCAGAUUGAACGCUGGCGGCAGGCCUAACACAUGCAAGUCGAACGGUAACAGGAAGCAGCUUGCUGCUUCGCUGACGAGUGGCGGACGGGUGAGUAAUGUCUGGGAAACUGCCUGAUGGAGGGGGAUAACUACUGGAAACGGUAGCUAAUACCGCAUAACGUCGCAAGACCAAAGAGGGGGACCUUCGGGCCUCUUGCCAUCGGAUGUGCCCAGAUGGGAUUAGCUUGUUGGUGGGGUAACGGCUCACCAAGGCGACGAUCCCUAGCUGGUCUGAGAGGAUGACCAGCCACACUGGAACUGAGACACGGUCCAGACUCCUACGGGAGGCAGCAGUGGGGAAUAUUGCACAAUGGGCGCAAGCCUGAUGCAGCCAUGCCGCGUGUAUGAAGAAGGCCUUCGGGUUGUAAAGUACUUUCAGCGGGGAGGAAGGGAGUAAAGUUAAUACCUUUGCUCAUUGACGUUACCCGCAGAAGAAGCACCGGCUAACUCCGUGCCAGCAGCCGCGGUAAUACGGAGGGUGCAAGCGUUAAUCGGAAUUACUGGGCGUAAAGCGCACGCAGGCGGUUUGUUAAGUCAGAUGUGAAAUCCCCGGGCUCAACCUGGGAACUGCAU
This 636-nucleotide ribosomal RNA is filed under the name Escherichia coli. RNAcentral describes it as "bacterial SSU rRNA". It matches the Rfam family "Bacterial small subunit ribosomal RNA", at positions 1 to 626 of the family's 1533-position model. Lineage: Bacteria; Pseudomonadati; Pseudomonadota; Gammaproteobacteria; Enterobacterales; Enterobacteriaceae. The record is from RNAcentral.